RNAcentral lists this ribosomal RNA (407 nucleotides) under uncultured bacterium. Its description in RNAcentral is "bacterial SSU rRNA". It matches the Rfam family "Archaeal small subunit ribosomal RNA", at positions 338 to 747 of the family's 1478-position model. The record is from RNAcentral.
GUCGCGAAAACUCUGCAAUACACGAAAGUGUGACAGGGCUACCCCGAGUGCCGUCCGCUGAGGAUGGCUUUUAUCCAGUCUAGAUAGCUGGGGGAAUAAGGAGAGGGCAAGUCUGGUGUCAGCCGCCGCGGUAAUACCAGCUCUCCGAGUGGUGGGGAUGAUUAUUGGGCCUAAAGCAUCCGUAGCCGGCUGGGCAAGUCCCCUGUUAAAUCCACCGAUUUAAUCGGUGGAUUGCGGGGUAUACUGCUCGGCUAGGGGACGGGAGAGGUCGACGGUAUUUCCGGGGUAGGGGUGAAAUCCUAUAAUCCCAGAAAGACCACCAGUGGCGAAGGCUGUCGACUAGAACGCGCCCGACGGUGAGGGAUGAAAGCUGGGGGAGCGAACCGGAUUAGAUACCCGAGUAGUCC